Molecule: ribosomal RNA, 641 nt
Filed under: uncultured Actinomycetes bacterium
Lineage: Bacteria; Bacillati; Actinomycetota; Actinomycetes
Description: bacterial SSU rRNA
Rfam family: Bacterial small subunit ribosomal RNA
Source: RNAcentral
AGAGUUUGAUCCUGGCUCAGGACGAACGCUGGCGGCGUGCCUAACAUAUGCAAUUUGAGCGACGAACCUGGCUUGCCCUGGGGCAAAGCAUCGAACGGGUGAGUAACACGUGGGUAACCUACCCCGAUAACCGGGACAACCCGAGGAAACUCGGGCUAAUACCGGAUGUGCUCGCCGGACUUCGGUCCGGCGCGUAUGGAAGCUUCGGCCUCCGUAUCAGGAGGGGCCCGCGGCCCAUUAGUUAGUUGGUGAGGUAACGGCUCACCAAGACCGCGAUGGGUAGCUGGUCUGAGAGGACGAUCAGCCACACUGGGACUGAGACACGGCCCAGACUCCUACGGGAGGCAGCAGUGGGGAAUCUUGCGCAAUGCACGAAAGCGUGACGCAGCAACGCCGCGUGGGGGAAGAAGGCCUUCGGGUUGUAAACCCCUUUCAGGAGGGACGAAGGUUCGGCGGUGAAUAGCCGUCCGGACUGACGGUACCUCCACAAGAAGCCCCGGCUAACUACGUGCCAGCAGCCGCGGUAAUACGUAGGGGGCUAGCGUUGUCCGGAAUCAUUGGGCGUAAAGCGCGCGUAGGCGGCCCGGUAAGUCCGCUCUGAAAGUCCAGGGCUCAACCCUGGAAAGCGGGUGGAUACUGCC